UUCCAUAACAAGCAAAAAGAAAUAAAACCAAAUCACACUAAAUAACAUUGAGAUUAUAAAAGCUGACACUUCCAAAAUGUCUCUGGCCCAUCUUCCACUUCAUAUGGUAAAAGGAUAAAGGGGCCUGAAAUGAAAGUAUGGCACAGUUAAUCAAGUCAGGCACCAAAAUGCUAACACUCUUUCCUGGAGAGAGAAAGGCUAAGAUCUCUUUUACUCAAAGAAGAAAUCCUCCUGCAGGCGUUCGGCAAACCAGCAUUUCUUCCUUCUUCACCUUGCAGCCAGGAAAGAAAAAUGGUGGUGAUCAGAAGAGUGUUUCAUCACAUAUAGAAAGUCAGACCAACAGAGAGUCUAAGAAAGAUGCAGCCCACCUAGACCAUCUGAUCCAGGGCUUGGGGGAUGAUUGCAUGGCACCCCCUUUAGCCACUUCAACCCCUGCAGACAUCCAGGAAGCUGGACUUUCUCCUCAGCCCCUCCAGGCUUCUGGACACCACAGAACGGGAACCCCAUUCUUGACUGGGCUGUCUUUGUUUCAGCCUGAUACCUUAGUCUGUACUGGAGAAAGUCAAGACUCACUGACUUGUUCCUUCACCCAGGACUUGGAAAGUUUUUGCUUGCUGGACCAAAAGGAAGGAAAGAAGAAUUCUUCCUGGAAAAUGGAAUGGCUUCAUGAAUCUAAGAAAAAGAAAUGUCAGGGUAUGGAGAGACGCAGUAAACCACCUGGGGGCAAGGGCCAUCAGCCCUUGGACAAGCCUAAAUUGGAAAAGGUGUCUGCCAAAGAAAAUAGGCAGGCCCCUGUCCUCUUUCAAACAUACAGGGAGUCCUGGAGUGGAAGAAACACAGAAGCAGUGAAACAAAGUUCUUGUCCUGUUGCUGUGGUUUCCUGGGACAGUGAAAAGGAUGACAGGGACUCAUGGAGUCAGCUUUUCACUGAGGAUUCUCAGGGCCAGAGGGUCAUUGCUCACAACUCUAGAGCUCCUUUCCGAGAGGUAACCAACAGCCAGAACCAGGGCUUGGGGCAGUUUCCUCACAGCCCUUGGGCUCAGUGCCAGGAUAAGCCCACUCAGUUAAAUCUGCAGCCUGAUUUGCUCUUUACCCAGGACUCUGAAGGCAAUCAAGUUAUCAGGCACUAAGUCUAAAUGUCUUUGAGGGCUUGGUUUUAAAAAUAUCUUGGGGAGGUAUGGGAUGAAGCUCUUAUUGUUGAGCAUUUUCUUUGUCUAAAUAAAGCAGGUGGUGACACUUAAGACGGUAUGGUUGGCAUCAUGCCUUUUCCUGAAGAACAGGUGACUGGUAAAUUCCCUGUAUGAAUCUGGUGAGCACGGAGGACGCAGGGGAGGUACUCAUCCCUCCACUAAAGGGCCUGUUACUCAGCCUGCACAGAGCCACGCUUUCAGAUGCCUAACUGGGACAUCGCUUCUUAUAGAUGUCUACACUUCUAACCUCUGGCUACAAAUACUUAUCAACCGAAUUUUGGGACCAUCAACUGACACAUUUUUGAGUGGCCCAGGAACCUGCAAGCAAGCUCUCUGGUAUCUCUCGUGCAAGUGCUCAGACCACACUUGGAGAAACACUGCAAGGUGGUGGCUCUCCAGCUGGAGCACUAGGGCUUCUCUGCCAGAUGAGUUUCUCAAGAUCCUGGCUCUGUUUCAUCCGGUGAAAGUCCUUCAGGAUCCCCAUCAUAUCUGCAAAGCUGCUGGCCUUGGACAGAGAGAUGCAGUCAUCCUCUUCAGAC
This is an RNA transcript of Molossus molossus (Pallas's mastiff bat), 1729 nucleotides long. It is a transcript of the gene named aurora kinase A and ninein interacting protein, with no coding region annotated. The record is from RefSeq and is a predicted model, not a curated record. NCBI's taxonomy places the organism in Eukaryota, Metazoa, Chordata, Mammalia, Chiroptera, Molossidae. The transcript has 5 exons.